GUGCUUGCUUUGGCAGCACAUAUACAAAAAAUUGUAACAAUACAGAGAAGAUUAGCAUGCCCCCUGCACAAAUUGUAUAGUUUUCUGAAAAUAUGUCUUGCUAU
Otolemur garnettii (small-eared galago) is the source of this 104-nucleotide small nuclear RNA. Lineage: Eukaryota; Metazoa; Chordata; Mammalia; Primates; Galagidae. The record is from Ensembl.